Non-coding RNA from Phascolarctos cinereus (koala), 139 nucleotides. The record is from RefSeq and is a predicted model, not a curated record. NCBI's taxonomy places the organism in Eukaryota, Metazoa, Chordata, Mammalia, Diprotodontia, Phascolarctidae.
AUUGUCUCAAAGAGAGGCCGGAUUCAACGUCAAUGUGGCCAUGGGAGUGGGGAGUAUAAGAAGAUAAAAAACGGAGAAAGAUGAAGGACAAAGAGAGGAACACUAUAAUUGAAUACGAUGAAAGGAAAAACGCAACUAA